GACGAACGCUGGCGGCGUGCUUAACACAUGCAAGUCGAACGGUGAAGCGCCUUCCUUUUUGGUGGGUGUGGAUGAGUGGCGAACGGGUGAGUAACACGUGAGUAACCUGCCCCCUUCUUCUGGAUAACCGCAUGAAAGUGUGGCUAAUACGGGAUAUUCUGGGUCUGUCGCAUGAUGGGUCUGGGAAAGAUAUUGUUUCGGUGGGGGAUGGGCUCGCGGCCUAUCAGCUUGUUGGUGGGGUGAUGGCCUACCAAGGCGGUGACGGGUAGCCGGCCUGAGAGGGUGGACGGUCACACUGGGACUGAGACACGGACCAGACUACUACGGGAGGCAGCAGUGGGGAAUAUUGCACAGUGGGCGCAAGCCUGAUGCAGCGACGCCGCGGGAGGGAUGGAGGCCUUCGGGUUGUGAACCUCUUUCGCCAGUGAAGCAGGCCUGCCUCGUUUGUGGGUGGGUUGACGGUAGCUGGAUAAGAAGCGCCGGCUAACUACGUG
RNAcentral lists this ribosomal RNA (494 nucleotides) under uncultured bacterium. RNAcentral describes it as "partial 16S ribosomal RNA". It matches the Rfam family "Bacterial small subunit ribosomal RNA", at positions 28 to 507 of the family's 1533-position model. The record is from RNAcentral.